UUGAUGUUUUUUUUUCUCGAGUUUUUUCUUGUCUCUCAGUUCAGUAGUUUUCGGUUAGUUAGUUCUCUAUAAUACCAGUAAUUUUUGAUGGGCGUUUAGAGUUAACCUUUGUAGGGUUUCACAUGACAUUUCGCUGGAGACCGGAGCUGCAAAGCGUUGAUGGUCAGUUACAGACAGAUCAAUUGAUCUGAUACUGGAAAUAGAGGAUGAGUCAAUUCAGUUUGACGAUGACCACAUAUGACCCCGAAAAUGUUACUAAACAAUUCUGCGAAGGGAGACUCUAUUUUCGCCUUCGAAAAUUUGAUUGGUGCAGGCCAAUCAAAUUUUCGAAAAUUAAGCAGGGAAUGAUGUAGCACGGUACUGAUUUCGACUUUUGGAAGCCCCUCGUUUCGUUAUUUUGAAUUUCAGAUCCAACACAAUCUCUCCUGUGUGGAUCUGGGAUUCUCUCUUCUUUCUAUGUAUUGGAUGUUUGGCAACGCGAGUGCCGCUCCCGAUUUUAGAUUUGAGCAACUAGCCAAAAUGGGUGCUGGAUGUGACUGGGCGGCUGUUUUAGCCAAGACACCCACCUACCAACACUCCGAAAGACUCAUGCUUUCCUUUUUUUUUGCUAUUUUUUCAUUUGGAUAUUUCCCCCAAAUGGCAGAGUCUUUCGGCGGGGUUUUCUUGUUCUUCAAAUUUCAAAACCCGGCGAGCGCUUCGACUUGAACUCUGCUCGGGAGGUUAAAGGGUAUCGCCCGCGAAUGCUUGAAUGCGCGACCAAUGAAAGCGCAGGGGAAUUUCGGUAUGAAUACAAAAUAGUUAACAUCGUUAACUAUUACGUAAUUCCGGUUCCAAUGAAUGUCUCGCUGAUCUGAGGAUCUUGAGAUAUGCUUGCCAUUCCGACUUCGAAAGUGAAAAAGGCAGGAGCGGAUUAGUUUGUUCUGGUGUCGCGAGUUGAAAUCCGAAGAAUAGUGAUUAAAUUUAGUCCAGUAGUUGUUUUCCGUGAAUUUAACUCUCCGCUUGUGUCCCCAUUGAGCGGAACUGAAGGAAAAAGCCGCUUCUGACCCACGAUCGGAGAUUGGAUUUCCGCCACCUUGUCCGUCAAUUCUAGUGGCCGCGCGGAGCGCAAACCAUCACUCGCGCAUCCAGGGAAGGCGCAUCACGACACAUCUACGAGUCGAACGCGCACUCAACGCCUACGGACUUACCAUUCAUCGCCUGGCGUGGAACGGCGAUAAGGUAGAUUCUCCACGUAAAACCUAGGUAGUGUGAGUAGAAAACUAUUUUUACCCUAAAAUAACAUGCGCAUGUAGGGUUAAAAGAACCAAAGAAUAAAACCACACACAACUAACAACGCCACACAACAAUGCCACAUGCAAUCGAAGCGUAGAGAUUUACCGACGGCGCGCUUAUGCUGAUCGCUAUUAAUAAAGGGUUACACAAGAUGCGAAAUUAGGCUUUGUAGAAUAAUCGCUGGACUUGAAUCAAUGGGUCCGAUGUUCGAAUCCCGUAAUAGUUAAAUAAAAUUGUUCAUGUAGUUAUUAUUUUUCGUUAAUUGGAAGUUUCGAAGUAAAUGUUGUAAAUAUAAUUAAAACUUGUGGGAUAAUAUGUUGAGUUAGCUGAAUGAAUGUUGUGUGAUAACCAAUAAUUAGAUGUAGACGGAAGUUUUGUGCAUUUACUGGCUAGCGGUGUAGCCUAAAAACCCGAAUAAAUUUCAGAUAGGUCACGAGCCCAGGGUUGGGGCUCCUCU
Toxorhynchites rutilus septentrionalis is the source of this 1729-nucleotide long non-coding RNA. RefSeq lists it as uncharacterized. Lineage: Eukaryota; Metazoa; Arthropoda; Insecta; Diptera; Culicidae. The transcript has 3 exons. The record is from RefSeq and is a predicted model, not a curated record.